CACGUGGUUGCCUAUGUUUUUUUUUCAAAUUUCGGGUAAAAAGUAAGAGAAACUUCACAAAGAACAAUUUGUCCCUCAUCGCAACCAAAGAUAGUACUUCUUUUUACAAUUAGUGGAGUAGCUAUUAAAGGUAAAAUGAGGACACUUGCGCUUCAAAGUUUUGGGGUUUCAGGGGCAGAACUUAUUUUUGAUCUGGAUGUUAAU
This 204-nucleotide long non-coding RNA is filed under the name Mytilus galloprovincialis (Mediterranean mussel). The record is from RNAcentral. Lineage: Eukaryota; Metazoa; Mollusca; Bivalvia; Mytilida; Mytilidae.